This 253-nucleotide ribosomal RNA is filed under the name uncultured bacterium. RNAcentral's name for it is "partial 16S ribosomal RNA". It matches the Rfam family "Bacterial small subunit ribosomal RNA", at positions 524 to 776 of the family's 1533-position model. The record is from RNAcentral.
UACGAAGGGGGCUAGCGUUGCUCGGAAUGACUGGGCGUAAAGGGCGCGUAGGCGGCUCUCAUCGUCGGGCGUGAAAUUCCUGGGCUUAACCUGGGGGCUGCGUUCGAUACGUGGGGGCUUGAGUGUGGGAGAGGGUCGUGGAAUUCCCAGUGUAGAGGUGAAAUUCGUAGAUAUUGGGAAGAACAUCGGAGGCGAAGGCGGCGACCUGGUCCAUGACUGACGCUGAGGCGCGAAAGCGUGGGGAGCAAACAGG